UCACUUCUUUAACUGCUUGCGAGGAUGAUAAUGUAUCCAAGAUGUGUAAUCUGUUUUUGAUAUCAAAAUAUCAAGAUCAUUCCAAACUUGGAGCCACCUCAGUUGGAUUAGAUUCAAACACAUCUGGGUUUGAUGCCUCGGGUUCUUCUAAUAUCUCUCGAGUUUGAACUGAUUCUUUAUAUGCAGGUGUGUCCUUGAAAUCAGUUGCUCCUUCGUUAUAUGUAGUGACAGCAAUCCCACAUGCAAUAAGAGCGAAAACGAUGCCAAAAGCCCAUAAAUACUCCAGGAAGAAGCCGAGAGCAUCCCACUUCGG
RNAcentral lists this unclassified non-coding RNA (313 nucleotides) under Hevea brasiliensis (rubber tree). The record is from RNAcentral. Lineage: Eukaryota; Viridiplantae; Streptophyta; Magnoliopsida; Malpighiales; Euphorbiaceae.